CCCUAAACGAAGCAGCAAAGUUAGCCGAUGAACAUUAUGAUUCACGAGUGCACGAAAUGUUCAACUCCCGACCAGCAGCCCAAAUGGAAAUAAGGGAAAGUUACUGAACGCCGGUCCGGAACGAUUUCAGGGCUCCUAUACCAGCGGUGCCUACCCGGUACUCGGGACCACCCAGCAGCAACAUCCCAGACUGUCCCCGGCCCACUUGUCAUCGGUGAAAGCAUCCCGGCCAUCUCAUGGCAAGCUGUCCGCUCAACAAUCACCAGACGCCUUGGAGCUAUAAUCCUUCGUCUGGCCCUUCUCGACCCGCCCGUGCCCUUUGUAUUAACCAGGAGGCCCCCAUGGAGGAAUACCUAGGACCCCUUCACGAAGCUGACCCAGUAUAUGCAGCCUCCGAC
Non-coding RNA from Pelobates cultripes (western spadefoot toad), 398 nucleotides. The record is from the annotation of a GenBank genome assembly. Lineage: Eukaryota; Metazoa; Chordata; Amphibia; Anura; Pelobatidae.